GGCGUGAAAAUCUUUUUUCAUGUUAAGAAACUUGGAAUCUUAGGAGAGGUGUGUGAGGUAUGAAGGGGCAUGAAGGGAUCUCAUCCCUUCAUAGCAUGUAUCCCUUUACAUGAAAACAAGAGGUAUCAAACCUCUUAGGCAUGAAAUAAAGAGGGAGCGCGAUCCUCUCUUUAUGGCACUUAUCCAAGGCAAGAGAUCUCAUCCCUUUUAAAGAAGAUAGGUUUCUUAUUAGAUUAGGAGUCCACCAUGCUAACC
Molecule: long non-coding RNA, 255 nt
Filed under: Elaeis guineensis (African oil palm)
Lineage: Eukaryota; Viridiplantae; Streptophyta; Magnoliopsida; Arecales; Arecaceae
Description: long non-coding RNA (EGUI_LNC058461)
Source: RNAcentral